CAGCCGCCGCGGUAAUACGAGGGGGGCAAGCGUUGUUCGGAAUUAUUGGGCGUAAAGGGCGCGUAGGCGGUUUGACAAGUCUGAUGUGAAAUCUCUGGGCUCAACCCAGAGUCUGCAUCGGAAACUGUCGAGCUUGAGUAUGGGAGAGGUGAGUGGAAUUUCCGGUGUAGCGGUGAAAUGCGUAGAUAUCGGAAGGAACACCUGUGGCGAAAGCGGCUCACUGGACCAUUACUGACGCUGAGGCGCGAAAGCUAGGGGAGCAAACAGGAUUAGAUACCCGGGUAGUCCCUGUCUCUUAUAC
Molecule: ribosomal RNA, 301 nt
Filed under: uncultured bacterium
Lineage: Bacteria
Description: partial 16S ribosomal RNA
Rfam family: Bacterial small subunit ribosomal RNA
Source: RNAcentral